AGUUUGUCCCACAUGCUGAAAUAAGAAAUUGUUCAAGACACAUUUAUGCAAAUUGGAAGAAAUUGCAUAAUGGAAUUAAACUGAAACAACUAUUUUAUAAAGUUGUAUACAUUACAUAUGAAGCACAAUUUGUGGCUAACCUAAAGGAACUUAGAGAAGUUGAUCAUGAGGUAGAAGAUGGAUUUGUUUAUAGGGAUCUAAGAGUAUUCUGUAAAGCAUACAUAUCCACUCUACCUAAGUAUGACAAUGUUGAUAACAACAUUGUUGAGACUUUUAAUGGAUGGAUAUGCAAAUCAAGGUUGCUGCAUAUUAUUGACAUGUUGAAAGAGAUUAGGGGUGCUUUGAUGGAAAAGAUUAAAAUAAAGUCUGACAUGAUGAAAAACAGUGUGGAUGAAUUGUGUCCAAGGAUUAGAAAGAAGAUUGAGAAUUUAAAGUGGGAAACCGGAUUCUGUAUACCAAAACCAGCUUUGAAUGAUAAAUUUUAGGUUAAAGUGCUUGAUGAUCAGUUUGUGGUGUCUCUGCCAGAUAGGAGUUGCACAUGCAAAGCUUGGCAACCGACUGGAAUUCCUUGCAUUCAUGCAAUUUCCAGUAUUCAUUGGUUGAGACAGAAUAUGGAUGACUAUGUUGAUGAAUGCUACAAGAAGGACAUGUACUUACAAGCCUAUCAGUAUGCCCUUGAACCAUUAAAUGGCCAGAAGAUGUGGCAUGAGAUCACUGAGGUACCAGUGCAUCCACCACCAUUCAAAAGGAUGCCAGGAAGACCUAAGGUGAAUAAAAAGAAAGCUGCUGAUGAAAAACAAAGGGAUCCAAACAAAUUAAGUAGAAAUGAAAUAAGGAUGCAGUGUAGAAUUUGCUAUGCAUAUGGACACAAUAAAAGAGGGUGCCCAAGAAAGGAUAAUCCAUCUCCAUCUAAAGAUAUUCUAGAAAAUAAGAGAAGUAGAAGGAGAACUAGAUGACCAUCAACUCUUAGAAAUAGUGUUACCAAUAUUGAUGUACUAAAUCAGACCACAGUUGGAAAUGUAGAAGCUGCUCCUUCACAAUCUAAACCACCAUAUGAUAAGAGAAUAAUUGCCAAAGAAAGAACUCAGGCCAGAAAAGGAUGUGGCCUGCACAUAUCCACAAAGACUGGCAAUAUAUAUUUAGGAAUGCCAAAGGAAAGGAAUGUGAGGACUGUUAGUGGUUAUACAGAAGCAGCAAUAGCAGCAAGGCAAUCUAGAAAGAGGUCUGACACCUAAAGAUCAACUACAGCUAGUCAUGAACAAAGUGUGAAAGUUUGUAGCCAGACUUCAACAGCUAUAAAGGCAAAAGAGAAUGUGACUGUAUUUGAUAGGUUGUCUAAAAAAAGUGCAGCAACUAAUAUAUCAGUUAGUUCGAAAGGUAAAGAGAAGAUGGUAGCUACAAAGAUAAAGACUAGUAGGAAUGCAAAUUUAGUGAUUCAAGAAGGGCAACAUGUUUUGCCAAAGCCAAUGCAGACGUUUAAUAAGUUGUCUUAGAGAAGUUGCAUUACUGUAUUUUUGUAAUUUUGGAGUUGCAUGGAACAAAACUGUCAUUUUGACUUUAUCAAUUAGUUUGCCUUAAUAUUAGUUGUUUUAUGUGUUUGUCUUUUCCAAAAUAUAUGUUUUC
Ricinus communis (castor bean) is the source of this 1623-nucleotide long non-coding RNA. RefSeq lists it as uncharacterized. The record is from RefSeq and is a predicted model, not a curated record. The transcript is spliced from 4 exons. Lineage: Eukaryota; Viridiplantae; Streptophyta; Magnoliopsida; Malpighiales; Euphorbiaceae.